This 700-nucleotide ribosomal RNA is filed under the name Haplothrips sp. HSZ-2016. RNAcentral describes it as "bacterial SSU rRNA". It matches the Rfam family "Eukaryotic small subunit ribosomal RNA", at positions 713 to 1211 of the family's 1831-position model. The record is from RNAcentral. Lineage: Eukaryota; Metazoa; Arthropoda; Insecta; Thysanoptera; Phlaeothripidae.
GAGGGUAUUACUGCUCGCCAAUCCGGGCGUCCAGCCGGUGGGAGGCCUUGCCGGCCGCGGUCUCUCCCCCCGCGGUUUUUCCUACUCAGGGCGGACUGCGUGUUCAGUCCGCCGGGCCACCAGAACGUGCGGAUGUCAGCCCCCAUAUGCUCAGUGGCCCGGGUCGGGCCGUCGAUGCUUGCGCUCCCAGUUUUCCGAUCCUGCCAAAGGUGCUCUUCUUCGAAUGUCAAGGCGGGACGUCAUGUUCACGUAGAACUAAUUAAAGUGCUUAUGGCAAGCUGGUGACGCCUGAUUGCUGCGUGCAUGGAAUACUGGAAUAGGACGUCCGUUCAAUAUUCUAUUGGUUCUCAGACCCAGACGUAAUGAAUACCGAAGACGGAUCGGCGCAUUCUUAUUGCGACAUUCCACGUGAAAUUCAUGAAUCGUCACAAUACUAACAUACGCGAAGAAUUUGCCACGAUGUUCACGUUGAUCGAAAUGACGGUCGGAGGUUCCAAGGCGAGCAGAAACCGCCCUAAUUCUAAUCGUAAACGCUACCUCUGGUGUCUCGCACAGCGUUACGAUUGAAUGACUGGGCGAUCUUCCCUCGUCAACGAAGAUUUGCAUUCCGGUCUAAUUUGGUUGACAAGCUGAACGUAAAGUACUGACAAAGGUGACCCAAAGGAAUGGAAUAUGCGGCUUAAUUUGACUCAACCGGUCG